This 253-nucleotide ribosomal RNA is filed under the name uncultured bacterium. RNAcentral's name for it is "partial 16S ribosomal RNA". It matches the Rfam family "Bacterial small subunit ribosomal RNA", at positions 524 to 776 of the family's 1533-position model. The record is from RNAcentral.
UACGAAGGGGGCUAGCGUUGUUCGGCGUUACUGGGCGUAAAGCGCACGUGGGCGGAUUUGUAAGUCAGGGGUGAAAUCCCGGGGCUCAACCUCGGAACUGCCUUUGAUACUGCAAGUCUUGAGACCGGAAGAGGUGAGUGGAAUUCCUAGUGUAGAGGUGAAAUUCGUAGAUAUUAGGAAGAACACCAGUGGCGAAGGCGGCUCACUGGUCCGGUUCUGACGCUGAGGUGCGAAAGCGUGGGGAGCAAACAGG